This is a long non-coding RNA of Aplysia californica (California sea hare), 597 nucleotides long. RefSeq lists it as uncharacterized. The transcript has 3 exons. The record is from RefSeq and is a predicted model, not a curated record. Lineage: Eukaryota; Metazoa; Mollusca; Gastropoda; Aplysiida; Aplysiidae.
CUGCUGGUGUUGACGGAAAUAGCUGCUUGUUGUGACUGGGGCCUUCUUAUCGAUCAUCUGAUCACUUUUCACUUUUCCUGAGCGACAUUUUCAUGGGCGCGCAACUGAUUGCUCUGUCUGUUCAGUGCCUUUUUCAUGGUUAUAUUUGUGAGAAAAAUGUCUGUGAGUUGUAGAUGUAGUGAGUGAGGAACGAGAAGGACGCGCAGUUAGAUCUAGUGGUGACGACAGACCUGCCCUGCCCGUCGUCUGCAGUCUUACAACUUACGUGGUGUGACGUUGUCAUGUUUUACAUUGUUGUUGUGAUUUGCUGAAGUUGCCUGCUACCACCAAAUCGGAGCGGAUAGAAGUUUCAUUUUCAAAAAUCAAUCCUGCAAGAUGUGGGUUAAGCCACAGGAGGUCUUGCUGGCAAAUGCCUUAUGGGCCACGGAGAGAGCCAAUCCGUUCUUCGUGCUGCAGCGACGGAAAGGCUACGGGGGCGGCGGCCUCACGGGGCUUCUGGUGGGGACCCUGGACACUGUACUGGACAAUAAGACCCUGCCUUACAGGAUUCUGCACCAGGCCGAGGGAGCAGAACUGAGUUAUUGUGAGUGUCCUUGU